RNAcentral lists this long non-coding RNA (1017 nucleotides) under Equus asinus (donkey). RNAcentral's name for it is "lncRNA (ENSEASG00005031832.1)". The record is from RNAcentral. Lineage: Eukaryota; Metazoa; Chordata; Mammalia; Perissodactyla; Equidae.
AUGUCUAAAUAUGCUAAGUAAGAAUUUGUAUAACCUGUUUUCAAUGUUGACAGGAAAGUUUGGUCCUCGCUUCCCAGAAGUCAUCUGUAAGGCAGUCGCAGGAAUAAGCACAAACUAGAAGAGGCUCACUAAUCCCAAGAAAAAUGAAAAGUAUCUGGGGAGGUCAAGGCUGACUGUAAUUCAGACUUAGUCUAAGAGAAAGAUAAUCUAGGGUAACAGAGACACCUAAUGAUGAGCUGUUCACAGAGGCCAGCUCUCCCUCAGCUGCCCUCGGACUUGGUGUGAACAUGACUGAAAAACUCGAACAUCACAGCAGUGAAGAAAGCCUAACGAGGCGAACGGGAUUUCACCGUGGAGAAGAAAGCCUUAGAGAUGUGAAAUGUUUCCAGAGACAUGAAAUGGGAUGAAAUCCAGCUGUGGAAAGGUAUUUGGACAGUACUCAGAUUAUGAAAUUCAAAGAGGUAUCCGAUGCCCUAUUUAUUUUGGGAACUGUUCUCUGAACGUAAUUCUGUGACUAAAUGAGAGCGGCUUCUCUGCCCUUCUCUCCCGGACCUGGUGGCCCCAGCCUGCCCCCUCCCCACCCACACCCUGUGUUCCUGUGGCUCUUUGGAAAAAGAGCACAGGCUCAGGAUGGAAGAAUUUCCUUUUUGAGUUAAACAAGUCCACUCGAAGUUCCAGAGGAGGGGCCUGGCAGAGACCGCGUUCUGAUCACAGGGGCGUGGGCGAGGAAAACUCUGAUAAGCUCCACGGUGAAGGGGUGAAGGAAUCGGCAGUGGGAGAGCAGAGCGCCAAGGCAAAGGGAACGUUCACUUCACACCCGGGCAGCCCUCCUGUCGGGAGAUUCUGAGACAACGGAACAGACAGACAAUGGGAUUGAGGCCACCUCCGCCCGGAACCACCCUGGACAGCGCCCUUUAGGAAACAAUUGGAGCGUGGCUUGAUGAGUCGUGUGUAGGUCUGCGCCUGGGAUCCGAACCUGCGAACCCUGGCAUGGAAGUGGAGCACACGAACCCACCC